GAGUAACACGUGGGUAACCUGCCCUCAAGCGGGGGAUAACAUCCGGAAACGGGUGCUAAUACCGCAUAGGUUCUUCUUCCACCUGGAAGAAGAAGGAAAGACGGCCUUUGUGCUGUCGCUUGAGGAUGGACCCGCGGCGUAUUAGCUAGUUGGUGGGGUAACUGCCCACCAAGGCAAUGAUACGUAGCCGACCUGAGAGGGUGAUCGGCCACAUUGGGACUGUGACACGGCCCAAACUCCUACGGGAGGCAGCAGUAGGGAAUCUUCCGCAAUGGACGAAAGUCUGACGGAGCAACGCCGCGUGAGUGAAGAAGGUUUUCGGAUCGUAAAACUCUGUUGUCGGGGAGGAACAAGUGGGAGCCUAACUACUCUCACCUUGACGGUACCCGACCAGAAAGCCACGGCUAACUACGUG
RNAcentral lists this ribosomal RNA (415 nucleotides) under uncultured bacterium. RNAcentral's name for it is "bacterial SSU rRNA". It matches the Rfam family "Bacterial small subunit ribosomal RNA", at positions 108 to 507 of the family's 1533-position model. The record is from RNAcentral.